GGGGAUUAACGAUAUCCCCUCAAUUCAAUUACCCCUACCUAGAAGCAUGCAGGAUUAUUUAGAUGCAUUAUCAUUUUUAAGUGGGAGAGCUUUCCAGCAGCCUGAUGGCUCAUACAAAUCCACCCGUGGAGAAGGAUGGGAUGCACACAGCGUUAAUGAUUGUUACCCUAAACUACAAGGCCUAUUUUUUUCCCGCUAACUCUGUGAUAAUCAAAUAAUAAUCCAGCUAAUUACUGACCAGGGAAAGCACAUUGACAGACCUGCCCGCAAACCUGCUGCCAGCACUGCUGUUCCCAAACGGAGAUGGAAAUGGAAGGAGGGAAGGAUCACUUCAGCUGUCAGCAGGCAGCGGCCGAGCAGGCUGAUAAACGUGCAGCAGGCAGCUCGGCGGCCCCCGGCACCCAGCAGCUCCGAGCUGGGCAGUGUCUGCGCCGGAUCCCGCACUGAGCGUGGAAGACGGGAUAACCCAUCGCUUUAUUCUUUCAGACGGGUCUCCCACGCUCUGCCGCUCCGCACGUUGGUGGCAUUGUCCCCGGCUCCGGGCUCCAAGGGGUCCACUUCCAGAUAAGAGUUACCGGCAGGGAGGGCGCGCAGCGG
This 597-nucleotide long non-coding RNA is filed under the name Gallus gallus (chicken). RNAcentral describes it as "lncRNA (ENSGALG00010027786.1)". The record is from RNAcentral. Lineage: Eukaryota; Metazoa; Chordata; Aves; Galliformes; Phasianidae.